AUAAUACUCCCUCCGUUUCAAAUUGUAGUUCACUUUGGGUAUGUAUCUAGACAUAAUGUCUAGAUACAUACCUAAAGUGAACUACAAUUUGAAACGGAGGGAGUAUUAU
Molecule: non-coding RNA, 109 nt
Organism: Dichanthelium oligosanthes
Lineage: Eukaryota; Viridiplantae; Streptophyta; Magnoliopsida; Poales; Poaceae
Source: Rfam